CUGGUCCCCUCGCAAUGAUAAGCUGUGAACCCCGCCAGGCCCGGAAGGGAGCAACGGUAAUAGCUGACUCAUGUGCCGUGGUGUGGCUGGC
RNAcentral lists this signal recognition particle RNA (91 nucleotides) under marine eukaryotic metagenome. RNAcentral's name for it is "Bacterial small signal recognition particle RNA". It matches the Rfam family "Bacterial small signal recognition particle RNA". Rfam says of the family: The signal recognition particle (SRP) is a universally conserved ribonucleoprotein involved in the co-translational targeting of proteins to membranes. Archaeal SRP consists of a 7S RNA and homologues of the eukaryotic SRP19 and SRP54 proteins. In most bacteria, the SRP consists of a 4.5S RNA and the Ffh protein (a homologue of the eukaryotic SRP54 protein). The record is from RNAcentral.